Molecule: ribosomal RNA, 652 nt
Filed under: Phauda sp. YF18B013
Lineage: Eukaryota; Metazoa; Arthropoda; Insecta; Lepidoptera; Zygaenidae
Description: partial 28S ribosomal RNA
Rfam family: Eukaryotic large subunit ribosomal RNA (bases 454-652)
Source: RNAcentral
GUUCAGGGGUAAACCUGCGAAACUCGAAUGAACGAACGGAGAGAUUCAUCGUCACUCCGCGGCGUACGGGCGCGCGCCUCGAUGUCCUCGGCCUCGGUCGAGCGGCACGGGUCGUGUCCGUCGACGUCCGCGGACGGCGUGCACUUCUCUCUUAGUAAUGCAUCGCGACCCGUUCGAUGUCGGCCUAAGCGCGGCUCGGGAGCCCCGUCACCCCUAGGGGCGGCGGGACCGCGGCCGACGCCGGCCGGCCGUCGGACGGUAUUACGCAUGGAACCGCGCACGCGUUAACGCGCGUCCGGCCCGACGCAAGGUAACGUCGCGUACGCAGUCCUGCCUCAGAGCGGACGACGUCGCGGCGCGCCUGUAGUCGCCGCCGUGCAGUCUCGGACUGUGCGCGUCUCUGUCUGCGAUGAUUCGGUUUCGGGCACUCGCAGGACCCGUCUUGAAACACGGACCAAGGAGUCUAGCAUGUGUGCGAGUCAUUGAGAUAACAAAACUGAAAGGCGCAACGAAAGUGAAGGCGCGCGCUCGCCGCGCGCUCGGGGAGGAUGGAGCGUCGGUCUAGGUCGACCUCUCGCACUCCCGAGGCGUCUCGUUUCCAAUCCGUGAAUGCAGGCGCGCUCUGAGCACAGAUGCUGGGACCCGAAAGAUG